This 1470-nucleotide long non-coding RNA is filed under the name Scleropages formosus (Asian bonytongue). Its description in RNAcentral is "lncRNA (ENSSFOG00015026213.1)". Lineage: Eukaryota; Metazoa; Chordata; Actinopteri; Osteoglossiformes; Osteoglossidae. The record is from RNAcentral.
UGACACUGGACACAGAGCAUUUCUGCCACUCCUUGUUUAUGUUGACCCUUGGUUCAAUCUAUGUUGAAGGUGCGCUACUACGACGGCUCGGAAGCCACAGUCCCCAGGGAUCAGGUGUACUUAGUUCCUGCUGAGAAGUUUGAGCAGGAUGUGGCCUAUGCCUUGGAGUGUGAACAGCGCUGGGUUGGGGAACCAGUUGUAGCCAGAUGUGACAACACAGGGACCUACCACCCUGGUAACAGAUGAUACACACACAUCAUCCGCAUUGUUUCAUCAGUUUAAAUAUGCAAUAUAUCAAGUGCAUUUGCAUAAAUAAAUAUGCUGCUCAUGCAUUGUUUUGGUGGUAUUGAUAAAAGGUACACUAUUGUAAACACAAUUGGUAGCACCAUCAUUUAAAUAUUAUUGUUUAAUAUUUUUUAACAUAAAGACUUUUUCUAUCCUCUCACAUUUAUCGCUGUAGAAAUUCCCUCUGGAUAGAUGUAAGAGAUAAUGUACGGAGAUACUGUAUCAGUUAAAUUUUUUUUAAAUUACUGCUGCUGACAUGUGACCCACAGAGGAAAUUAAUAAAAAUAAAUUAAUAACCACUGAGAUAAGUAUGUUGUCAGUAUAAUUACCAUCCUAAAGACAAAAUUUUUUGUCAGAGGAAACGGAGUAAGUGUUUGGACCAUUUUUCUGUUUCUGCCCGAGCAGCGGAGGUGGAGCAGCAGGUGGGAAUUGGGAGGCAGUACUUGAUCCGCUGGGCCGAUGGAACCAGCACUGUCCAGGACAGGGACCGCAUCUUUGGGAAAUGGAGCCCGUGGCGCAUCCUUGUGCUGUCACCGUGCAGAAGCACACCACUGCUUUUGGAUCUCAGAGGAGCAGUGUGCCAGAGAACACGUGCCGGCCGGCAGCGAAGGUGGAAGAGGAGGACCGUGAGGAGGGUGAAGAGCACCCAGAACACACAACUUACCCCUCUGAGUCGGAUGCAUCCACUCACUGACCCCAUGCUGUCCUCUGCCCUCAGCAGGAACCUAUGACCUCUUCCACUGUUCACUUUCCACCCUGGUCUUUUACCCUCUGAGACCUCAGAUGAGGCCACAUGCCAUUUCAGAUUGUUGGUAAGAGGGAUAAAAACUAGUUUAAUGCAUUCUAGCAUGUAUGGCAGUAUAAUUGCAUUAAGCCUUAGGCAUUCUGCUUUCAGUAGUUUGUGUAUUAUACUAUAAUACACUCUUGGGUGAGGUGAGGCCUGGGCAAAAAGGCCUCGCUGCCCCUUCUCUCAUAGGGCCCGUUGCCACCUGUGUUGUUGUUGAUCGUUCUCAGGUUAAUACUUUUAUUUUUCACACUGCAGGUUAUUUCUGCUAUUCUCCGGUAUUUCAAAAUGUAAGCUUUGCUCUCGUGUAUUGUGGUUAAACAGGGUAAAAUUUGCUACAACCUCUGUAAAGCAAAAUGUCUGCAAAUAAAGGUUUGCUCCUAUGACUAAGUAGAUUUUUU